GGCUGGCCCAAGUGCAAUAGUAUUUACAACUAAUUGAUCACAACCAGUUACAGAUUUCUUUGUUCCUUUUCCAGUUCACUGCCAGACUGGACUAGCCUUAA
Molecule: Y RNA, 101 nt
Filed under: Microcebus murinus (gray mouse lemur)
Lineage: Eukaryota; Metazoa; Chordata; Mammalia; Primates; Cheirogaleidae
Description: Y RNA (ENSMICG00000044937.1)
Rfam family: Y RNA
About the family: Y RNAs are components of the Ro ribonucleoprotein particle (Ro RNP), in association with Ro60 and La proteins.
Source: Rfam by way of RNAcentral